GAGGGAGACUGCCGAGCUAGAGGGUGGGAGAGGUCAGCGGUAUUCCUGGGGUAGGGGCGAAAUCCUUUGAUCCCAGGAGGACCACCAGUGGCGAAGGCUGCUGACUAGAACACGCCUGACGGUGAGGGACGAAAGCUGGGGGAGCGAAUCGGAUUAGAUACCCGAGUAGUCCCAGCCGUAAACGAUGCAGGCUAGGUGUUGGGGCGGCCACGGGCCGCCUCAGUGCCACAGGGAAGCCAUUAAGCCUGCCGCCUGGGGAGUACGGCCGCAAGGCUGAAACUUAAAGGAAUUGGCGGGGGAGCACCACCAGGCGUGAAGCCUGCGGUUUAAUUGGAGUCAACGCCGGGAACCUUACCGGGAGCGACAGCAGGGUGAAGGCCAGGCUGAAGGUCUUGCCGGACGAGCUGAGAGGAGGUGCAUGGCCGUCGCCAGUUCGUGCCGUGAGGUGUCCUCUUAAGUGAGGUAACGAACGAGACCCGCGCCCCUUGUUGCCACCAAAUCCUAAAGGGAUGUUGGGCACUCUUGGGGGACCGCUGCCGACAAGGCAGAGGAAGGUGCGGGCAACGGCAG
Molecule: ribosomal RNA, 570 nt
Filed under: uncultured archaeon
Lineage: Archaea
Description: bacterial SSU rRNA
Rfam family: Archaeal small subunit ribosomal RNA
Source: RNAcentral